GCUUCACUUAAUUCCAAUAGUAAAUGAACACUUAUAUUAGAUUUGAGAGAGGAUUGGAAACAGUCCGUGAAAUAUCAAUUGAUCUUAUGUAUGCAAAUUAUAAAGAUAGUAACUUGGUGUUUUAGAUUUUUAAACACAGUAAGUGCAGAUCAUCACACAAACGUAUUUCCUGACCAACGGAAAUAUUUUAUAGAUUUUUAAUGUUUACAGGUCGCGUAUUGAAGAAAGAGUUUUAUUCAUGUGGUACUUGUAAGUUUUACUCAUGUGGUACAGUGAACUAGGGUCUGGUAUUUUGGUAUAGAGAAUUUAAAAUCUAAAAAUGCUUGUAUUCGUCUUUGACUUCAGAGUUUAACGCAGAGAUCAAUCGUUCAGCAUUUAUCACUGUAUUUAUUAGUUUUAAAGCAUGCCUCUGAGCCAUAUGGCCGAUGUUUUGACAUAAUUUUGAUAUCUAUAUUUGGACAAUUGCAAAAGGAAUUGUAUCUAUAUGUCCAGCAUGUCUAGGUGAACGGGCAAAUUCAACAUCUAUGAUUGACCUUUUGGUAUUAAAUGGCCUCUCAAUCUUGUUGGAUUAAACUCUUCGACUGAAAAUCAGUUUGUUCAAAAUAUUAUGGAAGGUGGAAAAACCUGUAUUAAAGAGAAAACCAAUACCUGUAUCGUGAAGUUCUUUGACAAAACCAACCUGUACAAUCGGAGAAUUAUAUGCAUGGUGAUGUUGGCAUUCGCUGGGUGUUUACGUAGCAAGAACUCAUUAAGGAAGUUAGCUCCUGAGCUUUUGAACACAACUGCGCAGAAUGCUACAACAAAGUAUUUACUGGUUCAAUACUGGUCCCAUUGGACAUAUUACACAUCUAUUACUGAAUCCUAUUCAGUUAAAAAAAAAUUAUGACUAUUCAAAUUUUGAAAGGGUUUUGCAGGGACUACAUUUUGUAGCGGAAGGAUUGAUUGAUUAAUCAAAAAGUCUACAAAAUUAGGACCUAUGCUUGGCGCUUUCCGCCUUCGAGCAGGGAGGAAUCUUUAUCGUGCCACACCUGCUGUAACUUUGUGGUCCUAUCCGAAGGACCGCCCCAUUUAGUCGCCUCUUACGACAAGCAAUGGGUAUUGAGGAUCUAUUCCAACCUGGAUACCCAGGGGAAGAUAAUUAUAGGGGUGGAGCUAGAGUUAGAACUUUUUUGGAACUAGAGUUGUUGGCAAGAACUUUUUAUAUAUAUGCGUCAUUUUUCUAAUUUUGAGUUAUAUCUUCGUUUAACCGGGGUUACAAACGAUUCAUUGGAUUUUGUGGUAUUCCAAAUCGGUAAAUGGAUACAAGUUGUGGUAAACCCUUGUCCUACACCUGAAUUCGAGAAAUAUUCAUCGAAGUGUUGACAGGUAUUGUUUUACAAUGAAAGAUUACGGUUUGAUUUGGUUGUGUUCGGGUGGUGCAACUGCUUCUCUGGUACGGGGAAUUCCGGUCAGGAAACGACAUGAACGUUCGGAGUCGGCAAUUGAUUGCUCUAUUCACGAUCCGGUAUAUGUGAUCAUUUACGUGUUUCCAAGAAUAUUGCAUUGAUUUGUAAUAAUUGUUAUUGUAUGUGUAUUUAUCAUAAUUACUACUCUAUAUUAAAGUUAUUUACCGGUCGCGGUGGCUCAAUGGUAGAGCGUUCGCUUCGUAACCGGAAGGUCGUGAGUUUGGGCCCCGUUCGUGCCAUGGCCACUUCAAACCGAAGACGUAGUGAUUGCUCUUUCGCCAAACGUUCGGAAUUUUGAAGUGAGAAUCACGGGUCUUUCGGAAAUGACCUUUAAAAAAGGAUGUCCCUUGUCGCGACAGACGUUGACACGUUAAAGAACCCUCACUGCUAUGGCAGUAAAUAUAUGCAUAGAUCAAGAUAGUACUUCACCUAUAGUGGUGGCAUCUUAAUAUGGGUCGACGGGAAGUAAAACACAGAAACACCAACAAAAUUAACAAUAAAGUUGUUUAUAAGCAUUUAGUCGGAUUAAUUAUAAUAUUAAGUAAUUUUGUUUUCCUCUGUUUCCCGCGCUUUGUAUCUAUAGAUGUUGCGUGUCGUUGCUACAAUAUGCAAUUCCUGUUAGUUUUUUGCUGUUAAUUUUAUGCUUUCAUUUUUAAAGGAGAGAUACGAUUUCUUUCGAUUGACGUACGAAUUAGAGAGAUCACGUUCUAUCUGGUAUUAUAAUGAAUUUCCUAUUCCUAAUUACAAGGUUUUCAUUGGAAUACCUGGUUUAUACGUUUUGUUACGUCUCUUUAGAUCCGGUUGCAGUAGCAAUGUAGAGGUGAAAAGUUGUUUAUUACCAGAUAAGGAUGGUACACGUUAAAUUUUAAUUACAAAACAUCCAAUUCGUCCUAUUCCAUGCCAUAGUUGACAUGUACAGGUCUUUACCCCCUACAAUACUGUUUAAAAAACGACCAGUUUACCUGACAGACGCUUGAGAACGGAGAAAAAGCCGACAGGUGGAGGAAUGGUGCAAUUUGAGACGUUGGAAUGCCACAUUUCGCGAUUUUAGGAGAUACAGUUUUCUUAAUAUCUGAACAUGAAAGCAUCGUAUAAAGAACCGCAUGUAACCGGCUACUAACAAAAAGAAACUCGUUUCUCUUGUACACUCGUAUGACACAACUUGUGAUUUUGUGAGGUGUUCGCACACAGUCGCAAGUCACAGAGAGGAAAAACCUCGUAACCCUGUGAGAACCAGUUAGCAUCAGUUCUCAUCAAUGAAAAUUCGAGAUCACACAGUCUCGGUAAGAUUGAGGGGAUUCAAAGGCAUGUUUUGCAGUCAAGUUAAUUUUUGCAGAGGUCUCUACGUUGAAAAAUAUCACUAACCUCAUGGUCUAGAACUAUACUGCAAAUUGCACUAUUCUUCGCCAUGACAUCGCCAAGAUUGAGCAGCUAUGGUACGCCAUUUUGCAAGAAAGGAGUUUUUUAAUCCGCAAAUACAAAUAUUUAAUAAACAAGAAAGCUCAAGAAGAAGUACACGCGAGGUUAUAGAGAUCGCAAUUGACAAUGCUUCACUCUCAGAUGCGCCGACAAAUGACUAGUCAACAUAUGAUGGGCUUUGUGAAUGGCCCACAAACUAGUCAACAUAUGAUGGGCUCUGUGAAUGAACAGAGUAAUCUUGUUGACAAUGAAAAAUCUGACUUUCCGCAGUGACCCUUGCCACAAGACAGAUUGUCUUCCACAGCACUGUUCCUAAAGAUACAGAAAAUUAUUAUCAACUACCACCUCUAUAAUCUUCUCCAAAUAUCAUACCCACUCAAUGACAUACUUACACACUGAUCAACCACAAGAUAAUGUAUUUGCUCACUAUGAAAUUAAAUCCUAUAGCAGAAACUUACAUACCAUAACGUUACCUGCGGAGAAAAUCUUAAUAUCUUCAGGAUUCACGACAUUUAAUGGUAAUCUACAACUUACUAUGCAUGGAAUGUCAGCUGUGAGAAUAUGAGGUCUGAAUUACACCUCUCUAAUUGAAAAAAAUAUUAAUGUUUUCUUCAUGUGGUGCGGUCUACAGUAAAAAAAAAAAAAAAAAAAAAAAAAAGAAAGAAGUAAAGGCGAAAGAGUUAAUACCCCACACAGCAAUAACCUGAUAUAGAGACAGCUGCGUUGUUGCUACGGAAGCCCAG
Ostrea edulis (European flat oyster) is the source of this 3607-nucleotide long non-coding RNA. RefSeq lists it as uncharacterized. Lineage: Eukaryota; Metazoa; Mollusca; Bivalvia; Ostreida; Ostreidae. The record is from RefSeq and is a predicted model, not a curated record. The transcript is spliced from 2 exons.